UCAGGUGGUUCCAAUGUCCUGGGCCUUGGGCUGGGCUCUCUGCCGUCUUUAAGACAACAUGGCAAGUGGGUCGUGGGGGGCUUCAGAAGGAUGAGGAGCAGUCAGGUGAAGAAGGAAGAGAAGUUUGAAGAGGUGUGGUGGUUGAGCCCCAAAUCCCACGGUGGCGGAAGUGAGCUUGGGCCCAGCUUCCCCAGCCUCAUAGCCAAUCUACCUGUCCAUGCCCUGGGGCAGGUGAGGCAAGACAGCAGAGGACAGAGUGACCAGUGUUCCGGAGGAGUUCUUGUCUUAACCAGACACCUGAUGCCAAAGAAAGGCUCCGAUAGACCCCAACUUCUAGAACACACACACACACACUUCACUCCACACAGCAUGGGCCUGCUCAGACCCCAAUCUCCGGCAGUACAGGGUCAGUAACCCGACACACGGCUCACUCCCAGAGCUCCAUCAGCUCGUGGAAUGAAGCUUUAUGACCCGUGCAUGGGGGUAUCCAUGGCAACAGGGCUCCAGCACCAGAUGGAACCAUUCUGGACCACUUGAACGCAGGAGCCAAGACGGGGAUGGAGCUGUGAAUGAUGGAGGCAGCUGGGCCUGAGGUUGAGACAACCCUGGAGAGGCACACAGGAAUGCCUCUGGCUUCUGGAACUUUCUAUCACUAGAGGUGUUCGGUCAAAAUGCUCACUGAACCGAGACUUCAGCCAGCCUGUGGGCUCCCUAUAAAGUGCUCAUCUACCCGCACGCCCCAUCUGUGUUAGCAGCACUUAGGCAUCAAACCCCACUUCUAAGACAAAGCUGAUAGUGGACCCCACAGGCAGGCUAGUUCAGAGAGAAGCAGAAAGGCCAAGAUGAGGGAUGAGGCCCUUCCCAGGGCGCAUCACGCAAGUCCCCGAGGUGAGGGAAUCCAUAAGCCAAGUGCCCCAAGCCAGUGCCCCUCUGUCAGAGAGACCAAGAAGCUGUCAACUAGGAAAAACCCGGAGCUGCGGGUGUGUUUGGCGCUCAGCUUAUAGCUGCAGCCUGUCAGGGCCGUUCUCCAGUGGCCUGUGGCUAUCUCGGAGGCCUCGAAGAUACCAGUAAUUCUGUGGCUCAGAGAGGUGCUUGGCAUUGGACAAGGUCAGGUAGCAAGUGGUUGAUGGGAAGUGGGGCCGUUUUCCCUGUGCUAGAGUGAGGGCUUGCCCGUGUGCCCAGGUGGGUGUGGAAAAGAGAAGAGAACAAAGAAUCGGUGAGGAGAGGCCAGCCUUCCUUUGGGGAGUGUGUUGAAGCUGUGCAGAAGGUCAUUUUUGGAUGAAGAUGCCACCCCAGGGAGCUCCAGAUAAUCGCAAGCAGGAGGCAAGCGUGGAGCUGGGUGUGGUGGCUCACACUUUAGUCCCAGCACUCCAGAGGUGGGUCUCUGAGUUCGAGGCCAGCCUGGUCUACUGAGCAAUUUUCAAGGGAAGGGGGGGAGGGAGAAUAUGAGGAAGAGGAGAUGGAGAGCAAGCAGAGAGUUCAGAAUCCACAGUACCAUGGUAUGUGACCCUGCCUGCAGCCUCGUGGAAACCACGCUGCUCAGCAAAGCCAAAGCCGGCUCGUCUGGGAACACAAGUCAAUAUUUCGUCAUGCCUGUCCUCACAGAGGCAGCAUUCCAUCCACUCGCAGCCUAGGGACUCACUACUGUGGGGGCAGGCCCUCCUGAACCCCUUUACCCUCACCAGGAGAGAGUCCCAGACCAGACACGGCCCAGCUCAAGGAUGGAGAGCCGCAGCUGCUGGAGGGUGUGCCCUGGCUCCUCUAUUGCCUAACUACGCCAGCAUUUGCACAGGAAAGAGCAUGUCGUAGAGAUCUCUGCACAAGCGAGAGACCUCACACCAAUCUACAGAUGGGCAUCUGGGGCCCAGAGGCAUUGAAUGCCCAGCUCAAACACCCACGGCUAGAAAGAGAAACAGACAUGAAUUGAUAUGGUCUCCUGAGAGGCACGGACUCUCGCCCAUCACGCUAGCUCACCCUCACUCUCCACAACAAACCCCUUGAUGAGAGGAGAUGCUGGAGCCCAGAGAGGCUCAUGGUUCCUGCUCUGCUGGUUCUCCAGCAGCACCCGGGUGUCGUCCAGGUCCCAGGUCAGCGUCAUGUAAGGAAAUGGACGCUGGGAGAGAGAGGACCUCCGAGGAGUUCCUGCCAGCUCCAGGAAGCUGCUUCCCGGAGCUCCACUUUGCCUGGAGGACACACGGGACCCAGGCUGAACCCUUCUUUGCCGCUCUGUGCGGGGACGCCCAGGGUGUGUCUCUUAUGUGUCACACUGCUGUGUCCAUCUCGGAAGUGACGGUUAAAACCUCCACCAGCAACACCCUGGCGGGGGGUGGGGGUGGGGUCACCGUACCUCUCUUCCACAGAGAUCGUCCCUCGACCCCCUCUGCCAUGAGAUAUCACAGUUUAUUUUCCUCUCACUUUGAAAAUAUAGUAGCAGGACCAGCCAAUAGAAGCCUCUGCCCUGUGGCUCUUACGGAGAAUGGGAGAGACCAAGAAGUAGAUUCCUCUACACGGCAAGGGUGUAGCCCCGACUCAGCGAGCACGGCCCAGGGACUCCUACCUUAGGCUGCGUUAGCCGAGGCUUUGGAGGGAGGGGUGUGUGAGGUCUUAAGCUAGGGUGAGGAUAUGCAGACAGAAGAAAAGCUCCAUCCUCUGAGUUGCUGAAGCUGCAUCACAUGCAAAGGCCCUGGGCUGAGGGAGAAUUGGGCAUUUGGGGAGGAGGAGGAAAUCGGCGUGGCUCUGGGAUGGGCUCUUGAGGCUCAGAUCUUCCAAAUUCAUCCUCCUAACAAUUUGGAAGGGAUUGUCUGAUCCUUUCAGACAGAGCUUCGUGUGGCUCAGGCUUGUCCUUGAACUUGCUGAGAAGCCAAAGCUGGCCUCAAAUGCUUGAUCCUCCUGUUUCUACCUCUGGUAUGAGGGUCACAGGCAUGAGCUGCUGCACCUGGUUCAGGGUGGUGAUUUGAAACUGACCGUGGGAGUGUUUAUGCCACAGAAAUUUGGCCGAUGAGGUGCACUGUGGGAAUCUGUGCCAUUUGCCUUCACCCCACGGGGAGAGUGCUAGCCAGAGAGCAAGUAGCAAGUCAAGAGGCAGGGUGGUUGCAGUGAACAUCCAGACAGGAGGAGAGAAGAUGCUAUGACAUUGCUAACAACGAGCUAUGCCACCAGGAAAAAAACGGAAGUUCGGCCUGGUGGUGCAGGCCAGUCAUCCCAGCUGGCUGAGGAAGGAAGACCACAAGUUCAAGGCCACCCUGGAUAACACAGCAAGACGCUGUCUCGAAAACAGUGAAGAGGAAGCCAGUGAUAUAUGGCUUCGUGGCCGAGUGCUUGCCUGGCGCAAAGGACAAGGCGGUGUUCAAUGUCCAGGGCUAAGAAACAAAGGGGGUGGGGCGGGGGCAUUCCAGGAGGGUAGAUAUGCAGGUGACACAAAGACAGAGUGGAAAAGGUCGACACCGGCAUCACGGUGGCCUUGCCAAAAGUGAGGGCAGUCACCAGAUCCCGACCUCUCUGCAAGGAGCGAUGUGUGAAUAGACAGACAGACCCAGGUGAUGGACCUUGGGUUCGGCUCCUCAAAAACAGAGAGAAGGAGAAGAGGAAUGGGACCCCCAGCCUGUGGUAGGGAAGUCUGAAGCCAUGGAUUGAGGGAGAAAACAGUUGUCCAAGAACCCAGGCCUCUUCCGAGUGUAUUUCUGACAGGGAUCCCUCUGUGGUGGUUUGGAUGAAAACGGCCCCCAUAGGCUCAGAGGGAGUGGCACUAUUAGGACGUGUGGCCUUGUUGAAGGAAGUGUGUCACUGGGGUGGACGGGGGCGGGGGGUUCAAAAGCCCAGGCCAGGCCCAGUCUCCCUCUUCCUGGGGAUCAUGAUGUGGCUCUCAGCUACCUCUCCAGCACCACGCUCCCCACCAUGCUGAUAAUGGACGAAGCCUCUGAAACUGUAAACAAGCCCUCGGUUAAAUGCUUUCUAUUAUAGGAGCUGCCUUGAUCAUGGUGUCUCUCCACAGCCAUAGAACUGUGACUGAGACAGUGGAGCAGUUCUGAGAACAUGCUGUGGUUGAGUUUACAGAGCAGAACCCAAGGCCCAGAUGCCGGUGAUUUCCGCUCGAGCCAGAGCUCCGACGCGGACCUAGAUUCAAGGCCCGUGGGCACCCUUCCCUCAGAGCACACACCCUGUGUCCCACGGGGACAGCAUUUAUUCCAAUAGUAGAGCUCAGGACCGGACAACACAGUGGCCUCUCACCGCGGAGGGGAGAAGGCACCAGCUCCCAGGGCCUCAGGGGUCCCGACCCUCCACCAUCUCUCACCUUCUGCUCCAGCUCCGUUCGGGCCUUCAUCUCCGAGUCCAGUCUCUCCUCACACUGCUGAAGGCGCUUGCGCAGGAAGUCAUUCUCCAUCUGAGCACAGUCCAGGCGCAUCUGCCACUCAUCCGCUGCGUCACAGGGUCGAAGGCUGUACAGGAGAUAACUGCAUUAACAACAAGUCAUCUCUACUCAGCUUCAAGUAUAAUUCAAUGGGAGUGAGAAAAUGUUCAGAGAGAGCUACAAACUAGUUUUCUCCCGGGAAAACUUAUGAGAAUCCAGAAUCAUAUCCAUAAGGACUAUCCUAGGACAUACUAUGAUGUUGAGCACAUGACUGCACAUCCAGAGCUGAGCACCUGCUUCGUGUCGUGACUGAUGCGCCUGUGAGCUAAGUGUGUCUCCCACAUCACCAGCCCCCUGAUCACUACAGAAGAAACACACACCUGAGGAGCCUCAGCCAGACGCGUCUUGGAUGGAUGGAGCCUGUUCUGGGAUGCUUCUGGGGAGGCUGUGCUACCCUACACAGUUGGCUCUCUACCAACAGGUCCCUCACCCCCGUGAAGAGUCCCCGGGCAGUGGCACAAUCGGGCCACACCAGAAAGGUCUGGUGCCACCUGCCUCUCACUGUGUCGUGAAUCUGAGAGUCAGUCAACUUCCUCGUGUGUGAACUGUGCUGAUGUGAGAACAUGUAGGGAUGCUGUCCCGCAUGAUGAUAAGGUUGACCAGUUGGCUCUUCUGCUGUGCCUCCUCCAGCUGCUUCUGUACUUCCCCCAAUGCCUCCUGCACUUGCUGGUACUUAGCCUGGAAGAAAGGCUUGGUGAGGGCCAAGGUUUGGAAAUGAUAAGAGUUUAUACUCCCGACCCUAUGUCCAUGCAUUGGGAAACGAGUCCUCCGCAUGGCACCGUGAAAGGUCAGGCCUAAUGGAGGUCCUCACAUCACUGGGGCCCUGGAAGGAAUCACAGUGGUUCUUGUGAGACCCUCACAUUAGUUCUUACAGAGGACUAUUAUAAAGGGGGGGGGAGCCCGGAGCCUCCCUGUCUCUAGCUUUCUGUUCGGUUCAGUGAUCUUUUCCCUCCUGCCAUGACGCCAGCUGUCUUCAGCUUUUACCAAAGACCAAGCUAAUGGGCCUAGCCCAAGACCUUCAGCCUCCAGAACCACAAGCUAGUUUGCUUUAUAAAGAAACCCACUUAGAGAUAUUUUUGUUAUAGUAAUGAAAAUGGAGUCAACUGGCCAAGACCGACCAUUUCACGUGUGACCAUCCAAAGCCAGGGUUUGGUCACCUAUUACACAUUCACUCCUGAGAUGAGAAUGGGGUCCCCUGUGUUUUUCCCACCCAAGUGUCUUCCAAGGUCACAUGUAUGAUGCCUCAAUUGCUAAGGUCACUACCCACAGUAUCUCUCAGGCCUUGCCUUAGGAAGACCCAACUGUCCCUAGGAGCUAGGACACAGAGGUCAGUUAGCCUGUGUAUCUCAGACUAACUGGUCCUGGAGAAGUACUAGUAACCAGGAUGUCCUACUUCUGGCCACCCCACUAGAUCCGAAUGAGCUCUCACCUUGAG
This is a non-coding RNA of Peromyscus maniculatus bairdii (prairie deer mouse), 5843 nucleotides long. The record is from RefSeq and is a predicted model, not a curated record. NCBI's taxonomy places the organism in Eukaryota, Metazoa, Chordata, Mammalia, Rodentia, Cricetidae.